Molecule: ribosomal RNA, 103 nt
Filed under: Enterobacter hormaechei
Lineage: Bacteria; Pseudomonadati; Pseudomonadota; Gammaproteobacteria; Enterobacterales; Enterobacteriaceae
Also listed under: 2 other names
Description: partial 23S ribosomal RNA
Rfam family: Bacterial large subunit ribosomal RNA (bases 1-85)
Source: RNAcentral
AAGACUAUGACGUUGAUAGGUCGGGUGUGUAAGCGCAGCGAUGCGUUGAGCUAACCGAUACUAAUGAACCGUGAGGCUUAACCUUACAACGCCGAAGGUGUUU